CAUGUACUAUGUGACAGGUACAGCUCUUAGCAUUUUACGUGUAUUACCUUGUUUAAUCACCAUAACAUCCCUUGAAGUAGGUACUAUUACUAUCCCCAUUUUAUGGAUGAGGAAUCUGAGGCCAGAGAGGUUAAGUAACUUGCCCAAGAUCAUGCAAAUAAUAAAUAGCAGAGCUUGGAUUCAAAUCUAAGCUGCCUGAGCUUUAACCAUUGAACUCCAUUGCGUCUCAACAGAAGCAAAUCAGAAACAAACACGUGAAAGUUCUCUCUUCCUCAGUUCUGCUCCGGUAGGGUAAGCACAGUUAAUAGUUUAAUGUGAAUUCUUGUAGACCUUUUUCUUUUUUUUUAAUUUUUGAAUUUAAUGUUAUUUAUUUUUUUAUACAACAGGUUCUUAUUAGUUAUCCAUUUUAUACACAUCAGUGUAUACAUGUCAAUCCCAGUCUCCCAAUUCAUCCCACCACCACCACCACCACCCCACCACCACUUUCCCCACUUGGUGUCCAUACGUGUGUUCUCUACAUCUGUUGUAGACCUUUUUCUUGACAAAGAACUUAUGUAUGCACACAGGAAUUAUUAAAACAAGGAUUGGACUAUGUCAUACUUAACAAACAUUAUCGUACAACUUACUUUUUUUAACUUACUGAAUCACAGGCAUCUUUCCAGACUGGUAAGUACACAUCUAUCUUGCUUUUAACAGCUCCAUAGUCUUCUACGUGGUAGAUAUACCAUGAUUUAUUAGCUAACCCCCUAUUUUUAUCUUUUACAGAUGUGGAAGUGGGGAGGAGUUAACGUAAAAAUUGUGAAGUGUUUGAAUUUUUAGAAAUCUGUCAGGAAUCACCUUAUUAGGAAAGACUGCUGUAGAAAGGUGAUUGAAUGAAUUGUUCCUCUUAACCCCAUUCAGUUAAAUUAAAUUUUUAUGUUUGAACAAUACCUUCAAGACAGGCUUUGAGCCUUAAGAUCUGAACUAUUGCCCCAUGUGCUCGUCAGUGCUCACCAACUUGUCCCAGAAAGAGUUUGACACGAGCCCAUUCAUGCCUCCAUGACUUGGCCAAGAUUUGUGGCCUUGUGGAACUAGGCUGCAGUCAGGAACGGGAAUCAGCUUCCUUCACUAGCUGUGAGAAGGUGCCUCAGCGAGUUUCCCUGGGCAGGUCAGAUUGGCUGUGAGAUCUCCAUCCUCUGCCUCUCCCAGUAAACCAUGGAGCACCCCCUACGAAACAGUCCUCUCCAGAUGCAGACUGAGCCAGCUCCCUGUUAUGUUCUUUGGUGCUGUGUAUCCCCUUUUCCCUUCCGUGCAUCAGCCCUUAGGUAAAGCACAUGGCUGUAACUCACCCCAUGCCCACUCUGAGAGAUGGUUUCUCUAUGGUGUAGAGAGAGGCAUGGACUUGGAGUCAGAAGCCCUGGUUAAUUGUGAGUAGGCUAAAAGUUGCUUGUAUUGAGGGCUUACUCUGGGCCAGACACAGUGCUCAGUGCUGUGUGACCGUUAUCCCACUUAUUCCUCCCAAUAAUCUUACGAGGUAGGUAUU
Long non-coding RNA from Balaenoptera ricei (Rice's whale), 1522 nucleotides. RefSeq lists it as uncharacterized. The record is from RefSeq and is a predicted model, not a curated record. The transcript is spliced from 3 exons. NCBI's taxonomy places the organism in Eukaryota, Metazoa, Chordata, Mammalia, Artiodactyla, Balaenopteridae.